AGCGAACGCUGGCGGCAGGCUUAACACAUGCAAGUCGAGCGGGCACUUCGGUGUCAGCGGCAGACGGGUGAGUAACACGUGGGAACGUACCCUUCUGAUCGGAAUAACGCUGGGAAACUAGCGCUAAUACCGGAUACGCCCUUUUGGGGAAAGGUUUACUGCCGAAGGAUCGGCCCGCGUCUGAUUAGCUAGUUGGUGGGGUAAUGGCCUACCAAGGCGACGGUCAGUAGCUGGUCUGAGAGGAUGAUCAGCCACACUGGGACUGAGACACGGACCAGACUCCGACGGGAGGGAGCAGUGGGGAAUAUUGGACAAGGGGCGCAAGCCUGAUGAAGCCAUGCCGCGUGAGUGAUGAAGGCGUUAGGGUUGUAAAGCUCUUUUGUCCGGGACGAUAAUGACGGUACCGGAAGAAUAAGCACCGGCUAACUUCGUG
Molecule: ribosomal RNA, 433 nt
Filed under: uncultured bacterium
Lineage: Bacteria
Description: partial 16S ribosomal RNA
Rfam family: Bacterial small subunit ribosomal RNA
Source: RNAcentral